CAGCCAAGAAGUCGCUCACUCACCCUCCCCUGCCACAGCUGUGCAGAGGAAGAAAAAUUUAACAAAGAGUUCAUGAGUUGAGAUAAGGACCAGGAGAAGACACUGUAAGGGCAAAACAGGCCCAACUUAAAGGGCAGGAAGACAGGGCAUGAGGGUUUUGGUCAGUUCAUCACCCAAGGUUUUCCUCUGCUGCCCAGGGAGAGGAGUCCUCCCCCUGAGACUGCGGGAUCCCUCCCACAGGAGACAGUUCUUCUCCCACAUGGUUCCACUCAGGAGCAGCAGCCCGACCGCACCUGCUGCAAACCACAAAGAGGUGUCUAGAGCAGAGGUCUCAGGAGUAGCAGCUGAGUAAUCUGGAGUUGUUCAGUCUGGAGAAAAAUGAAGGUCAGGAGGGACCUUAUUGCCUGCCACAACUAUCUGAAAUGAGGCUGUAGCAAGGCACAAUUAUGGGAAACAGUAAAAAAACCCUGGUUGAGCUUAAAUGAGGAGCAUGAAGGAAGCUGCCAGCAAAGACUGAUGGUCUGCACCAAUGUUUGUGAUUAUAAAUUAGAGAUGUCAGAAAGGGUGGAAGAUGAACGAAUCAACCUCAGAGUGACAGUGAUAAGCUUGUACUAUUUUACAGAAUUAAGAAAGGGAAACAAAAAAUGGAUGCACAGAGCAGAAGAAUAAUAUGAUAAAAUAAAACUGAUUAUAAAAUUAUAUGGUAUCAGCACUCAAUGGACAGACAUGAAGAAAGAUUGCAUUUGCCUACACAAACUAUGAACUUGUAAAAGUGACUGAUACAUAAGCUGACAUCCUGGUGUAUUAGACUCACUCUCAUUUUCUCUACAAACAAUGAAUAACCACCAAAUACCAAAAUGUUCUGUAUUGAUUGUGUCUGGAAUGGAGUCAGUGAGCACCAUAUUAGCCUUCAUAGAGCUGUCUGCAUUGGCAGGUAGAAAGGGGUAGAAAGCAGUUCUUUUCCUGGGAUAUUCCAUACCAUAUGAUGUAAUGUUCAUCAAUAGAAGCUGAGAGAAAAGAGGAAGGUCUGGAGGGGGCAUUUGUUGUAGAGAUAUUUGUCUUCCAAAUUAACUAUAAUACAUACUCAAUCCCUGGUUUUUAGGAAGUAGCUGGACUCUGCCUGCUGGUGGAAAAUAAGAGAAAAAAUAAUUUUGCUCUGCUUUGUUUCUUGCUUCCUUUACUUUCAUUCAUUUUACUGCCUUUCUUUCUGAUCCAUGAGUUUUUUUAAAUCUUUUGUGUCCCCAUCCCAUUUAGGAGGAGGAGUGAGAUAGCAGCUGAGUGGGCACGUGGCAGCCAGCUGAGGUGAUCUGCCUUAUUUUUAUUGCUGUUUUUUUCCUUAAUUAUAAUUUUGGUAGACAAUAUUGUCUUACAACAAUAAUCAUAACUUUUAGAAUCAGUCUUGUAAAUUCCUCUAAUCUCUGACAUUAUUUUUAGGGAUGCCUUAGUUUUCCCCACUAGCAUUUUUACAAGCAACAUUAUCCUCUUUUUUAAAUCACUUAAUAGGAUCAUUCCAGAAUGAUGAUUCUUUGAAAGCUAAAUCUUAAAAGAAGAGGAAUUGUACUGUAAUUGUGCCACUGCAAAUGAUUAGAAAGUCCUGUAGUGGAAGAGCAGAGCAACAUGGAUAUCUUGCCUCAAAAGCUAUACAAGGAAUUUUUUGGUCUGCCUGGAUGGGCAUUCUUAAAUAAGAGAGUGGAAUAUCUGCUGAGUCAAUGAGUGCUAGACUUUACCCAAACUUGACCAGGAGUGAGCCAGGUCUCUCAAGCUCUUCCAGGUAAGGGGACACAAGAUUGGAGGAAACAGAGUUUACUAAAUUCAAGUUUAUAUGCUGAAAUUCCAGCUGGAAAACUCAGGACAUAAAUUAGAAGAUAAAACCUUCAAUGAAUAAAAAAUUAGAUAUAAUUUUUUCCUUCACUGUAUUUUAAUCUUUAUUAUAAUGAAUCAUUCAAAAAUUGAAGGAAGAUAUGACAGAGAGAGACUUCUAGUUUCCAAGAGAACAAAGAGAAAGCUAAAUGAAAAAUGAGAGGAAAGCUUUCCUGCCUUUAAGGUGCAUUUUUGCUAUAGAAAAGUAAUCAAACAUUUUCAUUAUAGAAAAAUAAUGUAGGAAAAAAUUAUAGAGUAGAUUUUCCAGCUUGUUUCAUGAAUAUAAUUUAUUUCAAAAAUACAAAAUAAAAUCUUGUGCCAGGCUUCUUAGACCCUAUCUUGUAUGGGACAUUUCACAUUAAGAAUACAGUAGACACUACAAAUAUAUCAGGGCAACUCAAUGGCUUGUGUUUUAAUGCCCCAGAUAUUCUCAUUGAAUUAUACUUAAAUCAAAGUACACAAUUUCAUUAUGGAAAAUACAAUUGGUAAAGACUGGAUUGCCAUAAAAGGAUUCAAUUUCUCAUCUAUUGGUUAUAAAGGUAUACAUGAAAGUUUAACAGAGAGUAAGUACUGCAAGCUUAUCAAAAUUUAUAACAUAAAUUAUCAUUCUUGUAACUUAUCUAAGACAAAUCUCAGAUCUUCUUAGACCUUCUCUACUUAGCCAAUCACCUGGUUUAUUUGAUGUAACUACUUUGAGGCUUAAGAAAAAAAAUCUUUGAAUUUAAAAUCGUAUAUAGAAUGAUACCAAACUUUUAUUAUACCCAUACUUGAUUUGUGAAUAGAAGAGCAAUUUAAACAUUCAUACAUGUAACUUACAUUGCAUACAUUAUGAAGUCAUCUAGAGAAGACAAUUGACAUUUUCCUCUUGCUGAUAGUCUUUGUCAUUGUAGUUUGAGAUUGUCUGUGCUAAUCCAAGUAUUUAAGUCUCCUUUGGACUUCUGCUGCAAUUAUAUUUAAAGAAAGAAAUUUACACAUAUGAAACUGGGUAUGUAAACCAGCAAUUGAUUGCACAUUAUGUGUAUUACAGAAACAGUCAUUCUCAUAUUACCAGAAGGAUUAUCUUUUAAACAUAAGAGCUAGUCUCUAUGAAAGCACUAUAAUUCUAUCAGCACAACACUUAAAAAGGCACUAAAGUUUCUGUCAAUAGUCCUUAAAAUAACGUGCAUUCACAAAAUUUUUAGAAGUGGUAUAUAUGCAAUCUUUCCAGAAAAAAAUUUAAAUCCUGUAGCAACUAAAAAUAUGAACUUUACCACUGCAGUAGAUGGGGGAUAGUCUAUCAAGAAGUAAGUUUAAAAAUUACAUUAAUUGCAAUUCUAUUUGAAAAUGUGCAUGUGAUGAAAAAUGUAUCAACAUAUGGGAGAUGAUAUAAUCAUGGACAUUAUAAGAGGAAAAAUGUGAAAAUAUUUCUUCAAAGGACAUUUUUUGUCUUCAGUGAAACUGUUUCCAAUUUCAUUAUUUUUCCAGGCUUUAUUUUCAUUCAAAUUAGUGUGACUUGAUCUGCUAGUUUUAGGAUUUAACAUACACUUUUAUCUUGUACUAUCAUGGUAGCCAUCAUGAUGGGAAAGAAACUUGCACAGUAAUUAAAAUUAUGCUUUUGAAACAAGUUUUGGAAGUGCACUUUUAAUAUGCUUUAUGUAGGACAUCUAAUCUCCUUAUAUAAUAAAACCCAAGGAAAUAACUGUUUAUAACAAAAUACAAAUAGUAU
This is a long non-coding RNA of Passer domesticus (house sparrow), 3565 nucleotides long. RefSeq lists it as uncharacterized. NCBI's taxonomy places the organism in Eukaryota, Metazoa, Chordata, Aves, Passeriformes, Passeridae. The record is from RefSeq and is a predicted model, not a curated record. The transcript is spliced from 4 exons.